AUGCUGAGUGCAGUACCCGUGCAUGCGACAUCAAGUUACCGCGUCGUCAACGGAAUCGCCGCCGUUCUGUUUUCCCGGAUACUCGUUGAGUUCAGUUCUUAUGUGCCGUGGUUAAAGUUGCUGUGUUUGCUGUGAAAGAAAUUAGGGUUGAGGCCUAAGUUGCCGUUGAUUUCAGGCUGAGCAAAAAGAGUUCAGUUGACACAUGUGGGUUAUGGUUUUGCUUAUCAAGCUUUACCUUUUCAGAAACCGGAAGAAGAAGCAUUAAGAGGAGUUAUACUGCAUUUGGUUUAUAUAUUAUUGAAUUAAUUAGGUUAUUCUCUUCCCUCGUCUUUGUUAUUACAAUUUUGUAAGAGGGAUAGGAGUUGU
This is a non-coding RNA of Arachis ipaensis, 366 nucleotides long. NCBI's taxonomy places the organism in Eukaryota, Viridiplantae, Streptophyta, Magnoliopsida, Fabales, Fabaceae. The record is from RefSeq and is a predicted model, not a curated record.